This 429-nucleotide ribosomal RNA is filed under the name uncultured bacterium. RNAcentral describes it as "bacterial SSU rRNA". It matches the Rfam family "Bacterial small subunit ribosomal RNA", at positions 355 to 776 of the family's 1533-position model. The record is from RNAcentral.
UGGGGAAUUUUGGACAAUGGGCGAAAGCCUGAUCCAGCAAUGCCGCGUGCAGGAAGAAGGCCUUCGGGUUGUAAACUGCUUUUGUCAGGGAAGAAAUCCCUUGGGAUAAUGCCCCGGGGGGAUGACGGUACCUGAAGAAUAAGCACCGGCUAACUACGUGCCAGCAGCCGCGGUAAUACGUAGGGUGCGAGCGUUAAUCGGAAUUACUGGGCGUAAAGCGUGCGCAGGCGGCUUUGCAAGACAGAUGUGAAAUCCCCGGGCUCAACCUGGGAACUGCAUUUGUGACUGCAUAGCUAGAGUACGGCAGAGGGGGAUGGAAUUCCGCGUGUAGCAGUGAAAUGCGUAGAUAUGCGGAGGAACACCGAUGGCGAAGGCAAUCCCCUGGGCCCGUACUGACGCUCAUGCACGAAAGCGUGGGGAGCAAACAGG